RNAcentral lists this ribosomal RNA (657 nucleotides) under Triticum aestivum (bread wheat). RNAcentral's name for it is "partial small subunit ribosomal RNA". The record is from RNAcentral. Lineage: Eukaryota; Viridiplantae; Streptophyta; Magnoliopsida; Poales; Poaceae.
CUUAAACAGAUUGAACAAGGGGAGAAAGUUGAUGUCUCAAAUCAAAAGCCAGGUAGAGCUGGCCGCAAGCGGAAAGAUUUGGAUCUGUAGAGGGUGGUGACAAUCCCAUUGAACAGAAGGAGAACAUUGCGAGGUCUGUCAAAGGCAUUGGGUGUAAGCUGCACGACCUUACAUUCAAGGUUCGAGUGGGGUCAUUUGAGGCGUCACAGUAAUAAGGUGAUGCCCCACUUAAACCUAUGCAACAUUGUAAAGAGAUUGAGAUGGUGCUUGGCUAUGUGUGAAGAUUAUUGGUUUGUGACACGGGAAUUAGAGAACAUAGCCUACAUGGACGAAAAGUGGUUCAACAUGACUGGGGAGGUGAACAACUACUAUUUGCUUCCCGAAGAACCCGACCCCUUACGCACCUUGCAUCAUAAGGAUAGCAUCGCCAAGGUGAUGUUUCUCGCUGCCGUGGCUGAACCAAGAUAUGGCGAAGGUGGUGAGGUCACGUUUGAUGGAAAGCUCGGCAUUUGGGAUUUUGUCACAGAGUCUCCUGCUCAAAGAACGAGUGAAGAUAGAGAUAAAGGGACGCUCGAGCUCAAAUCAUUGAAAGUCACACGAGAUGUAAUGAGGUAUUACAUGUGUGAGAAACUUAUUCCUGCGAUCCAAGAGCGCUAG